UGGCAGUUUGAACCACAGAAUCCAUUCCCCUUAGAAAAGACUUAAAGCAGCUUAGAACUUUGCCUAAAAUGUAAAUAUGGUUCUGAAACUGAGUUAUACAAGCCCUUCAGUCUAGAAGCAUAAAAACUGACAUCUUUCAUUUGUCUGGAUUCGAUCUAUGAUCAUUGUACUAUUUUUAGUUGGGCUGAUUCUGUGCUGUGGUGAGAGCGGAAGCCAGACGUAAAGUUUCUCAGAGACGCAGAUUUCACUAAGAUAAGAACGGAGCUGUGUCGACACCAACGUCUCUUCUCUCCACGUCUCAGUCUGAGGAUUUCCUGCUUGCUUAUGCUCAUAUUCUGAGGAGUUUGGGUUCUGAGAAACUGUAAUUGUUGCUAAGGACUUGCUGUUAAGUCACUAAACUACAAAGCUGCUGUGAUCCUUCCAAAACAAGGUGUUUGUCCGUCUCCCAAUGCUUCCUCACUUCUCGGACCAUUGGUUCCUACUGAAUAAUGUUAAAAUGAUAAUAAAAAACCCUCAAAUCAGCUGCAGAUUCAUGAACAUUGGCGGCACAUACAGUACUUGUUAGUAGGAUCACUUCGCUGUAGCUCUGGUCUGAGCAAACAUCAGCCAUAACGGGGUAAACCACAGCUCUGAUGCUCUCUGCUGCACAAACACAAGCCGUUCAGAACCCUGCUGUUGCUACAGCAGCGAAGCAAAUUGCAGAGAUGCUUUCGGUGAUGGAUUCCGUGGACCAAUCCUGCGCUGUGAACGCCAUGUAAGAGGCAGCCUGAUUAAGAUGCAGAGUGCAGAGGCCAGACAGUCGCAGUGACGUAGCGCUCUAACAGCUCGGAGCUAAAAAAAGAACAGCGCAGGAAAUGUCACAGGAUGCGUGCAUGCAUCGACCGGCGCUGUCCUGCCUGCGAUGGAGGCAGAUAAACUGUGGGACCGAGCAGAGAAGUGAAGCUCUGUCGAAAUCUGGCUGCUGAGUGGCUUCUCUGGAAAGGAGGAGGAAGUGGUCGUGUGCUGCAGCUCUUUGUGCUGUCAUCUGAUGAUCACAUGACAAACCGCCGUGAACACAUGACUGCAUCUCCUCUCACGAUCCCGACGGUGGGACUGAAGCGUUUCAGCACAGCAGAGACGCUGCUGGCUGUGAAUGUGAAUGAGUAAGAGAGAGUGUGUGUGUGUGUGUGUGUGUGUCUGGCAGCAGCAGAAGAGCUGGCAGAGACAGGAAAUGAUGCAAAGAUGCCGGCGGGCAGCAGAUAGGACGAGUCUAUUUUAAGACUGUGCUACAAAAGGACAGAUCUCUCUGAUACAUCUGGCCUUGUAUGACUGUGUGUGUGUGUGUGUGUGUGUGUGUGUGUGUGUGUGUGUACAUUCUGCACAUAUCGUGACUAUUUUGGCUGAAUGUUGUUUUUUGCCUUAUUUUUUUUGCCAUUUUAUGAUUCGCUUUACCCUUUUUUUUGGUCAUUUUGUGUAAUUUAUUGUCUCAUUUUUGUCAUCGCUGUCCAUUAUUUUGCUGCUUUGUAACGUUUUGUCUGAUAUUUUGUCUCAUAUUCAUUUGGUUUUGUGUUGUUAGCCUCAUUUUUUGUCAUUUUCUGUCUCGUUUUUGUAACAUUUUCUCUUGUUUCUGGUCUGACUUUUGUCGUCUUGAUCAUAAAGUAAAACACUACAUCAUUCAGUUUCGGAUACACCCCCUGUCAAAAGUUUUAGGACAGGUUCUAAUUCAUUUGAAUGAGAAAGCGUUUUUGACAGGGGGUGCACCUGAGACUAAACGUUCUGCGCCUUUUUAUAGACACUCUGCAAGUUGUCAUGUGUAAAUGAUAAACUGAGGCAUACUAUUACUGAAACUGAAUUUAUUUUUCUUUAAAAAACUUCAGUUUGUUCAUGAUGUUUAACAAAAAGGUAAUUCCUAAAAUGUGGGCGCCUUCAGAAUGUACUUUUUUGGACUAAAACAAAGGAAAACAAUGGAGUUGUGGUUAUUUAUAGGUUGUUAUGCUCUGAUUUUACUGGUCGCUGGAAAUCAAAUUGUGUUGAAUGUGGAACCUGAACUAGUCUAACUGGUAAAUCCAGGAAUUUCUGCAUGUGUGUGAGUGUGUGUGUGCGUGACGUGAUAGACAGGCUAAUGCUUCAAGAGUUGUUAAAGUCCGCAGGUAAUUUGUCUCCUUUUACCCCAAUCAAAUAAACACAUAAUCCCUC
Acanthochromis polyacanthus (spiny chromis) is the source of this 2175-nucleotide long non-coding RNA. RefSeq lists it as uncharacterized. The transcript is spliced from 2 exons. The record is from RefSeq and is a predicted model, not a curated record. Lineage: Eukaryota; Metazoa; Chordata; Actinopteri; Pomacentridae.